Molecule: small nuclear RNA, 116 nt
Organism: Gopherus agassizii (Agassiz's desert tortoise)
Lineage: Eukaryota; Metazoa; Chordata; Testudines; Testudinidae
Gene: U5
Rfam family: U5 spliceosomal RNA
About the family: U5 RNA is a component of both types of known spliceosome. The precise function of this molecule is unknown, though it is known that the 5' loop is required for splice site selection and p220 binding, and that both the 3' stem-loop and the Sm site are important for Sm protein binding and cap methylation.
Source: Ensembl
CUUUUCUGGUUUCUCUUCAGAGCGUGUAAAUCUUUUGCUUUCUCCCAAAGAUUUCCAUGGAGACGAACAUUUAGAAGUUUCUAUCCAAUAUUUGGAGGCUUUCUUUUGUUGAGGCU